CUAGCUUCCCGGCUGCUUUGUUUACCCAAGCAAGCCUGGGCAAUGGCGGGCGCCCCUCCCCCAGCCUUGCUGCGGCCUUGCAGUUUGAUCUCAGACUGCUGUGCUAGCAAUCAGCGAGACUCCGUGGGCGUAGGACCCUCCUAGCCAGGUGCAAGAUAUAAUCUCGCGGUGCGCCGUUUUUUAAGCCGGUCCGAAAGCGCAAUAUUCGGGUGGGAGAGACCCGAUUUUCCAGUGAGAUGAACCCAGUACCUCAGAUGGAAAUGCAGAAAUCACCCGUCUUCUGCGUCGCUCACGCUGGGAGCUGUAGACCGGAGCUGUUGCUAUUCGGCCAUCUUGGCUCCUCUCCUGGUAAUCCUCUUAUACAUUUUUAAAAAUUCUUAGUUCAUUAGUUUUUAAUCUUCCUUAUUUUUAAAAUAAAUGUAUUUAUAAUUUUUAUUUUAAAUAUUGCUAUAGCUGUAACUCACAAAUUUUGUCAUUUGGCUUUUUAUUGUCUUUCAGAUCUAAAUUUUACUAAUUUCCUUUCUGACUUAAUUUUUACCUGUGAUUUAGUAGUAUUAUUUUAAUUAUUGGACAUAUGGAAUUUCAAAAUUAUCCUUUUGUAAUUUAUUUAUGAUAUUAUAGUAUAACAAUUAGAUAACAUAGUUUACAUAAUAAACGUUUUUUGCUUUUGCUGAGACUUUAUUAUUUGGCUGAAUUUAUAAACUUUCCAAGCACAUUUAAAAAAAAAUAACCUUUAUUUAAUCAGUGUAAAGCUUUGUUUAUGUUUCAAAUUGUCUAUAAUGUUUACAUUUUUGUCUACUUCAUUUUUUCAGUGUCUGUGAUAAAAACAUUAACAUUUCCAGCUAAAGUUUUAAUUUUAUCUGCUGCAUCAUCAUGUAAAUUGUUGCUUUGUAUAUCCUGAAAAUAUGUUAUUAGGUGCAUAUGUGUUCAUGAUUUAUUACAUAUUCCUACUCUGUGAAUUAUUACUUAUAUCUCAUAGUGUUCUUGUUUGUUUUUAAGUUCUGUUUUGCCUCAUAUGAAAGUUGAAGCUCUAGCAUUCUGUUUUUCAGUAUUUGUUUGGCAUAUCUGUUUAUUUUCAAUCAUUUAGUUUCUUCUCAGUUCAAGUCUCUUAUCUUCGACAUUGCUGAAUUUUUUAUAAAACUAUUAUGGAAAUAUGUAUCCUUGGAGUAAUCUAUUUUAAUUAUAAAUAGCAUCAGUACUUAUUCCUACUAUGUUAUUUUUAUAUAUCAAUUGACGUAUUUUUUCUCUUUCUUUUCUCUUAAUUUUCCUCUCCCUUCUCCUUCUUUAUUUUGAUUCCCUUUAUUAAGAUUUUUUUUUUUUACUAGUUCAAAAGUUGGGUAAUGUUUACUCUCAUAUAUAAAUUAUAAUUCAACUAGAUAUUCAAGUUGACUCAAGGUCUUUUCCUUCAAAACAAAAAUUUUAUGUCAUUUUCUCCUCAUACGUAGUGUAGCUAUUUAGAAUUUGAUAUUAAUUUGAUUCUUCACUAUUUUAGAAAAUUGUUUUAAUAUUCUGGAAUUAAUAUUUUAAAAAUUUAUCUUUGAGUCUUGGGAGCUUUAAAAAUUCUUUUUAAUAGAGGUAGGGCUUGAAGAAAUCUAUCCUGUACUGAACUCUAGAUCCUUUUGAAUUUGAAGUGUCAUAAAUCUUUUCAUUUUGUCAAAUUAUUGGUCACUAUUCCCUCAAAUACAUUUUUUACUUCUACUUAUGUCAUUUGGGAUUAAUAUUAAAUAUUGACCCUUCUACAUAUCUCUUCUACAAAACUUUUUAUUUAUUGUUCUUAUUUGAACUUUCUUAAUACCUCCAGUGAUAAUUCUUCACGUGGAUCUUUGACCCACUAAAUAACUUUGGCACUAUAUUCUGUAAUUCAGCCUAUCAAUUUUUUUAUUAUAGUAAUGGUGUUCUUAUUACCAAUAAAUCCAAAUAAUUAUGUUCCAUAUUUGCUUAUUCCUGAUUUGUUCAUCUGUUAUGCUCUCUAUAAUGUCUCUUUCUUUCUCUGUAUAAAUAUUUAAUAAUACUUUUAAUAAUUAUUGUUCUGUUUGCUUCAUUUAUUCUGCUGCCACUGCUAUACAUUGUUCAGUUUUUAGUAUUUCUUUCCCUUUAUUGAUCUUUCUCAAUAUCUCAUCAUUUCCCCCUAUGAACUAACAUUUCCUUGAGACUCUCUGUUACUUUAGUCACCAAUGUGUACCUAGAAGAAGGUUGACAUCUGGACUCCUGCUUGUGAUUUUCAAAUUACCUAUUAGUGAUGAGGACAGCCUCUGGGGUUGCAAUCCAGGCUUAACCAUUUCCUAUUUGCUGACCUCUCCUUCCUUUUGUAGGGACCCUUACCAUUAGGGAAUCUUCCAAGUGGUGACCCUGUGCUGUGUUGUCUAGUCUGAAGGCAGUGAUCCUGUGCUGUGUUGCCUAGUCCAUGGAUUGGUCAUGAAAGGGAGAUGAAAAAACAAUUAGAGGAUCUUGGAUCUGAGAAUGUAAAACAGAGACAGAGGAAACAUUCAUGGAGUCAGAUUCAUCACAGUUCCAGUAGCAGUGGCAGGUGGCCAAGACUAGACCUGUGGUUUGCCUUUGGCUAUGGCUAUUAUCCAGCGUGAUCUGUCUAUUAUCUAUCUAUAUUAUCUAUCUAUCUAUCUAUCUAUCUAUCUGUCUAUCUAUGUAACCAAUUUAUUUGAUUAAGAGACCCAGAGUAUUUAUCUUUUGCUAGCUCUGAUAAAUCCUGCUUAGAACACUAUAUGCUUUAACGUUUUAAUGUAAUAGCUUUAGACAUUAACCAGAAUAUUCACUUCUGGGCCUGUCAGCUCGAAGAAACUUUUUAUUUGCAAUAAAAGAUUAAAAUGUAACAUUAUUGGUGUUGUAAGAGAAGAAAGACAACUGGAUUUAUGAAUCUAUUGCUGGCAAAUUACUAUUUUGAGUAAUAUAUGAAAAACAGAUUGGAAAUGAGGUUUAGGGGCAAAUGUUGCUUUGAAAGCAGGUGUCAUGUAUCACCCCCUGCCCCUAGUGAGAACAAUUACUUGGUUUCCAGUGGAGCUUUUGCUUCCAAAGUGAAAGGAGAAAUGUGGAAGACAUUCCAGAGUUUAGCUGUUUAUUUUAUGUAUUUAUCCCUUAGUUGUCUUUCCUAAUCAUGGAGAAACCCCUGUCUGAUUAAUAAACAAUUUCUGGCUCUGUUUCAGAA
Molecule: long non-coding RNA, 3160 nt
Organism: Homo sapiens (human)
Lineage: Eukaryota; Metazoa; Chordata; Mammalia; Primates; Hominidae
Exons: 2
Source: RefSeq, a predicted model, not a curated record